ACUCAGAUGUCUAUCAUUUAAGUGAUUUCUUCAGGACCACACAGCUAUUCUGGAGGCUGAGAAGUCCAAGGAUGAAGGACUCCCAUCUGGCAAGGGCUUUCUUGCUGCAUCAUCUCAUUGCGGAAGGUGAAGGGCAAGAGAGCAUGAGAGAAGUGACCUCUUCCUGAUACAAGCUGUCUCUUUAACCGCCCCCCCCCUUCUUUUACGAAUUAAAACCUGCAUCUCUUCCUGAGGCCAGUAAUCAGAAGGGCAGGGAAGUGUCCUUUGUUCUUUGUACCACAGGAGAUGACUCAGUGGAAUUGUCUGAGUGGAGGUCAUAAGAUUGUCUUUGAGAGAGAUGGGAUGUAUUUCUACUAUAGGGAAGACUGUGUG
Non-coding RNA from Microcebus murinus (gray mouse lemur), 372 nucleotides. The record is from RefSeq and is a predicted model, not a curated record. Lineage: Eukaryota; Metazoa; Chordata; Mammalia; Primates; Cheirogaleidae.